CUGACAUAACAGCAUAACACCAACAUUGGAGUGUAUGGACUGACUGCACAGGGACCCACAUCGGCCUGUAUGGACUGACAGCACAGAGAUCAACAGUGGUCUGUAUGGACUGACUGCACAGAGACCCACAUCGGUCUGUAUGGACUGACAGCACAGAGACCAGCAUUGGUGUGUAUGGACUGACAUAACAGUGUGAUAACACCAAUGUCAGUCUGUACCCACUGAUAUAACAUCAUAACACCAACAUCAGUGUGUAUGGACUGCUAUAAUGCUGUGAUAACACCAAUGUCAGUCUGUGCCCAUUGAUAUAACACCGUCAUAACACCAACAUCAGUGUGUAUGGACUGAUAUAACGCUGUGAUAACACCAAUGUCAGUCUGUGCCCAUUGAUAUAACACCGUAACACCAACAUCAGUGUGUAUGGACUGCUAUAAUGCUGUGAUAACACCAGUGUCAGUCUGUGCCCAUUGAUAUAACACCGUGAUAACACCAACAUCAGUGUGUAUGGACUGAUAUAACACCGUGAUACCACCAACGUCAGUCUGUAUGGACUGACAGCACAGAGACACCGACGUUGGUCUGUAAGGACUGACGUAACAGCAUGAAAGCACCAACAUCAGUCUGUUCUGACUGACAUAACACCACGAGGACACCAACAUCAGUCUGUUCCGACUGACACAACAGCAUGGCAGCACCAAUAUCGGCCUGUAUGGACUGCUGUAACACUGUGAUGGCCC
This 737-nucleotide long non-coding RNA is filed under the name Gallus gallus (chicken). Lineage: Eukaryota; Metazoa; Chordata; Aves; Galliformes; Phasianidae. The record is from RNAcentral.